Long non-coding RNA from Gymnogyps californianus (California condor), 267 nucleotides. RefSeq lists it as uncharacterized. The record is from RefSeq and is a predicted model, not a curated record. The transcript is spliced from 3 exons. Lineage: Eukaryota; Metazoa; Chordata; Aves; Accipitriformes; Cathartidae.
GAACUCUGGAGUAAGCGUGGAAACACAGACCAUAUUCUCAAGUCUGGUACAAGUUUUGUCAUAUACUGACAUUUUGAUCAGGACUUGGCACUUCAGUGAUACGCUGUUGAGAAACAAGUAUGUUCUACUAAGGAGACGUGACAUUCUAUGUGGAACUGGCAGUGACGUGACAGCAUCUGAUAGCUCUGCUCUGCAGUGUGGUGGCAACAUUCUUCUGCAAUAAAACGAGUGCAGAACAGGACUCGCUGGGUAGUUCGCUGAGGACCC